Molecule: ribosomal RNA, 490 nt
Filed under: uncultured bacterium
Lineage: Bacteria
Description: bacterial SSU rRNA
Rfam family: Bacterial small subunit ribosomal RNA
Source: RNAcentral
GAUGAACGCUAGCGGCAGGCCUAAUACAUGCAAGUCGUACGGCAACACAGUUGCGAGCAAUCGCAACCGGUGGCGAGUGGCGCACGGGUGAGUAACGCGUAUGUAACCUACCCUUCUCCGGGACAUAACUCCGCGAAAGCGGUGCUAAUAUCCCAUACCAACUCAUCAAGACAUCUUCUUGAGUUGAAAGCAGCAAUGCGGUGAAGGAUGGGCAUGCGUCCCAUUAGCUGGUUGGUGAGGUAAUGGCCCACCAAGGUUACGAUGGGUAGGGGUUCUGAGAGGAAAGCCCCCCAACUGGUACUGAGACACGGACCAGACUCCUACGGGAGGCAGCAGUAAGGAAUAUUGGGCAAUGGUCGAAAGACUGACCCAGCCAUGCCGCGUGCAGGAUGAAGGCCCUAUGGGUUGUAAAGCUUGUCUGGGAGGGACGAAGGAAGUGACGGUACCUCCGGAGGAAGCCACGGCUAACUACGUGCCAGCAGCCGAACGG